Long non-coding RNA from Oreochromis aureus, 2869 nucleotides. NCBI's taxonomy places the organism in Eukaryota, Metazoa, Chordata, Actinopteri, Cichliformes, Cichlidae. The record is from Ensembl.
UCAGUGGUCCGAUUAUCACUGAGACCACUAUUGCCUUUACCCUCCACAUCUUCUCAAUCUCUUCUCUGAGCCCUUGGUAUUUCUCCAGUUUCUCAUGUUCCUUCUUCCUGAUGUUGCUGUUCUGAUAUUGUUCCCCUGCCACUGGGAGUAUACCAGAUGGUUCCAUGGAAUAGAGCUGGUUUAUUCUUCUGCCUUCUAGCACUCUGUACUUGGGGCUUGAUGAUGGUUUGUGGACUCAGGGCUGGUCUUCUGUACGUGAUCCAGAGCUGGAAGGUGUGUUAGGUCCUACAGAACCAAAACAAAGGGUUUGUGAAAAUCACAAUGAAUGUUUCUGGGAAGCAGAGCACAAAUCUGAUUGGUUGGUCCUAAUAUCAGACAGAUAUUAUCACUUUGCAAGAUAAAUUCAUGAAACUUCAUAGGUGGGUAGAUGAUAUCAAGUUUAGGUUUCAGAGAUAACAAAGGGGUCGGCUGAUUAUGGAAUCUAUUCUACAGCUAUAGAAGAACAGCUUUAAAAAAGCAUGCGUUCAAACAAAUUGCAUAACUUCCCCCAAACUAAAUGCUACAUGAUACUAAAAUAUUGUCUAAAGAUUUAAUUCAGUAUCCUUGAUGUCAAAACAUUUUUUAAUUAAGAAAAUAUAAAUGCAAAUGUGGAAAAAACAACCGGUCUAUGUUUAAAGAAGAUGCAGUGCAUCACUGCAGUCACUGCAUUUUGUAUCAGAUGAAGAUGUAGGUGAAAGAAAAAAAAUAAGGUCAAACCAAAUGUUUUACUCUGUAAUGUGCUGGUGGGCAAAUGUGUUUCAAAGAAAGCAAAGGAAUACAAACCACUUUCAUGCUGCAGUUAACAUGAAUGAUAAAACUUCUCAAUGUACUUGAGUGUAUUCAAGUUAUUUACAUCUGAAACUGAACAUGCACUUUGCAUACUCUUGCUGCCAGUUGCAUUUCUUCAUUGUUAAAUCACCAUUUUAUCUGUUAUCGUCUUGUCAUUUGCUUGUGUGUCACUGAAAGUGCACCACUACAUUAAAAAGUCUCACACACCUUAUAGUGGUUGUAUUUUUUUAAAGAGAGCACAUGAACCCCAGAAAACCACAUACAUGAACAUAGAGAUAAAAUCUGCUCAGCAGCAAACAAAACCACUUCACUGGCGAUGUGUUGAUAAGAUGCACUGAAUGUCACAAAGUAGUUUACUAGGAAAGCAUGAUAUAAAUCUACAACCACAAAAAAAUCCCCUGUAUGUGACACUAAUGUCAGUCUCUCAUCCAACAGAAACACCUGAUUUUACAUGGUUCACCUUUCUGCUGUAUCUAAUAAUACUGUCCAUUAUCUACUCUCCAGUGCAAAGUAAAGACACUACAGUCUUAGAGAGAGGAGGUUAUUUUCCCCAGAUCACUUGGAAGACUUUUUAAAAUCCUAAAAUCUAUCUUGAGGCAUAAUAAAAGCCAAAUCACACAAUCCUUUAGUAUGCUAUUCUACAAAAAAGUAACAGAACAAGAACGGGUUCUGAUAUAUAUGUGACUGAAGUCACUGGUGUUGAUUUUCAUCCUUGCUGUUAUUGUGACAAAAAUUAUUUCCAGUAUGGUUUGCAUCCUCCAUCUCUGAGCCUCAUCUUUACAAACCUGCUGUUCGUUUAAUGGGUUUCAGGAUAUUUGAAUCGGUGUCCUGUUGAAGGGGAUCAUAAUGAAGUCAUUUCAGUAAUUUCACCCACCUGUGGAUCGAGAGAAGCGAGACGAUGGCAAUGACAAAAUACUUCUAUCAUCUGAAGUUCUUCAGAGCAUGAGGCGUGUGAUUGUGGCCCUGCACCAGUUCUACUGGUUUGGAGCUCAGAUGUGUCUUGUUGACCCUGGACGAGGAACAAGAAAAAGUGCACAUAAAGCUGAGUUUUGAGUUCAUCCUUCGAGUCUGAGUGUCUGCACCUUGGGUCCUACUCCGGCCUGCCACACAGCGUUUCAUGACAGAAAGAACAAGACUGAAACAUCUGAUUGUAACCGUGAUUGUAGCUGGAAAAUGAGAGUAAAUGUUUUCUACAAACUUGUAAAUUUUUCAGAAAUACUUUGUACCUUUACUUUUUGUUUGAUGUUAAAAGGUCCUUUAAUUUAGGGUUGAAGUUUGACGACUCUAUUUAAUCUAUCAUAGAGAAUUGAGUGUGAAGAAAAGGGCUCAACAUCCAGUCUUACAUUUGAGUUAUACGAUUAAAGAUAGAAUCAUAGUCUGAUGAAAAUAUUGAGUUCUAAUGUCUAGAUUCUGUGUCGCUAGACAUAAUCCAGCUUCAAUCUUUCAUAUUCAUGCCUGGGUGUGACUGGAAAGAUAAGAACUGUUUCACCGACCCAUUAUCAUCAUCAUCACUGUGUUGCCACGAUUAAACACAGAAUUGUAGUUCAUUAGAGAUUGAGCUGACAGUUAAUUAUGUUUAAUAUUGAUCAGAAUAUAAUCCGGAAAAUGUGUAAGUUUAAUAAGGAUGGGAGUUAGACAACAUAAUGGUGAUUCUAACAACUGGCCUUUCAGUGAAGUGUAGAAACGGUGUGUGUGCACUCUGAUCUCUGAAAGUCUGACUUUAAAAAUUUAUGAUUUUCUAUAUUAUAAAUUCUAUAUUAUAGAUCACAGUAAAAAGGUUAAGCAGUGUAAGAAUAGAUUAUCGUAGUAUUAGGGAUUUAGUUGUAUUAACGAUAGUAAAGCAUUAUAUCCAUUAUUCAUUUAAGUAGGUCAUAGGUCAAGCUGCUAAACAUUCACACAUAGAGCACAUAGAACUGGGAGAAUAGGUCAGAGGUGUACGUGAGAAGCAGAGACGACAGAGCUGCCGUUAGUGGGAUGAGGAGUUGGUAAGCUAAAGCAAGGAGAACAUAGUGUGUGGAGAAGUGGGCAGCAAGGACACGAG